RNAcentral lists this ribosomal RNA (301 nucleotides) under uncultured bacterium. RNAcentral's name for it is "partial 16S ribosomal RNA". It matches the Rfam family "Bacterial small subunit ribosomal RNA", at positions 509 to 807 of the family's 1533-position model. The record is from RNAcentral.
CAGCAGCCACGGUAAUACAGAGGUCCCGAGCGUUGUUCGGAUUCACUGGGCGUAAAGGGUGUGUAGGAGGUUGGAUAAGUCAGGUGUGAAAUCCCGCAGCUCAACUGCGGAACUGCAUUCGAUACUGUUCAACUAGAGGAUCGGAGGGGGAAGCGGAAUUCUUGGUGUAGCGGUGAAAUGCGUAGAUAUCAAGAGGAACACCGGUGGCGAAGGCGGCUUCCUGGAAGAUACCUGACUCUGAAACACGAAAGCCAGGGGAGCGAAUGGGAUUAGAUACCCCGGUAGUCCCUGUCUCUUAUAC